GAUGAUUUGAGCAAAAGGUUUAUGAUAGAAUUUGAAAAGUAGAAGUAGAAAAAGAGAAAAACAAAGAUUUGACAGUGACAGGAAAGAGAGAAAAAAAGAAACGUCGGAUGGGGAAUUUUGGGAAAUUGAAUUAAAAUAAAAUAAAUAAAAAUUAAGAUAACUAACAACCCAAUUCCCCACUAACCUACUAACCUAUUAACCAACAUAAUCUCACCAAAUUUGACAUCUCCGUCCAUAUCCAACUACCUCAGCAUUUCAACUUCACCGAACCUUUAUCAGACAACCG
This 286-nucleotide long non-coding RNA is filed under the name Gossypium raimondii (Peruvian cotton). Its description in RNAcentral is "long non-coding RNA (GRAI_LNC007339)". Lineage: Eukaryota; Viridiplantae; Streptophyta; Magnoliopsida; Malvales; Malvaceae. The record is from RNAcentral.